This is a long non-coding RNA of Lytechinus pictus (painted urchin), 268 nucleotides long. RefSeq lists it as uncharacterized. The record is from RefSeq and is a predicted model, not a curated record. The transcript is spliced from 3 exons. NCBI's taxonomy places the organism in Eukaryota, Metazoa, Echinodermata, Echinoidea, Temnopleuroida, Toxopneustidae.
UAUUCAUUUGACCUCAUUACGUCAUCUAAUUUAUUCAUUCUGAAACUUUUCUUUCCACACACAAAAUGGACCUACGAACACUCCGGUUGAGUUUGAAGAACAAGAAAAACAGUAGAGGUCUACCUAUAUGGUUCAAGAUGAUGAUCAUAAGUGCAUGCAUCAUUUUGCAGAUUCUCAUCCAGGAUGAUGCAGUUUUACAAUUUCCAUGGAGGUGAUUGAUGAUGAUAAACAAUUGGUGAAGUAGGCCUAAUAGAACAGUGAUAGGACC